Molecule: ribosomal RNA, 419 nt
Filed under: uncultured prokaryote
Description: bacterial SSU rRNA
Rfam family: Bacterial small subunit ribosomal RNA
Source: RNAcentral
CCUACGGGAGGCUGUAGUGGGGAAUCUUGCACAAUGGGGGAAACCCUGAUGCAGCGACGCCGCGUGAGCGAUGAAGCCCUUCGGGGUGUAAAGCUCUUUCGGCAGGAACGAUAAUGACGGUACCUGCAGAAGAAGCUGCGGCUAACUACGUGCCAGCAGCCGCGGUAAUACGUAGGAGGCAAACGUUAUCCGGAUUUACUGGGCGUAAAGCGCGUGUAGGUGGUUCUGUAAGUAGGGCGUGAAAGCUCCUGGCUCAACUGGGAGAGGCCGUUCUAAACUGCAGAGCUAGAGGAUGGUAGAGGGAGGUGGAAUUCCGGGUGUAGCGGUGGAAUGCGCAGAUAUCCGGAGGAACACCAGUGGCGAAAGCGGCCUCCUGGACCAUUCCUGACACUCAGACGCGAAAGCUAGGGUAGCAAACG